This is a non-coding RNA of Armatimonadetes bacterium RBG_16_67_12, 84 nucleotides long. The record is from Rfam. Lineage: Bacteria; Bacillati; Armatimonadota.
CUCCGAACGGGCAAACCCGGAGCGAUCCGGGGACGCAAAGCCACAGGGCCACAGAACGCAAGGUGGCCGGCUGGGCUGCCGAAG